GUGAAUCAUCGAAUCUUUGAACGCAAAUUGCACUCUCUGGCAUUCCUGGGAGUGUGCCUGUUUGAGGGUCAGCCUAAAAAAAAUCGACAUCGUUGCUGUUUCGCGGUGGCGUUCGUCGGAAAUUGUGUUAUCUUAAAUCCUUGGUUUAAGCGACUUAAAUUUUUCUUUACGAUUCCGUAAACGUUUCCAAGAUUUAUUUCUUUACACGUUUAUGGUAUCGAUUUUAUUUGGCGUGGUCGUUAUAUCGAAUCAUGUCCAUAAUUUUUCGUUAACUGACCUCAGACAGGUAAGUGUACCCG
RNAcentral lists this unclassified non-coding RNA (299 nucleotides) under Glomus sp. Its description in RNAcentral is "partial contains 5.8S ribosomal RNA and internal transcribed spacer 2". The stretch from base 1 to 71 matches the Rfam family "5.8S ribosomal RNA", at positions 84 to 154 of the family's 154-position model. Lineage: Eukaryota; Fungi; Glomeromycota; Glomeromycetes; Glomerales; Glomeraceae. The record is from RNAcentral.